CUAACCUUUUGCCAUAAACUUGAACUUUUCGCACCCUCCCUGGACGACUUCAAACCGGCCACAUUAAUAACACUUAUGACCAACAGCUGGCAGCCUCUGACUCCAUAUAAUUAUCUGAAACUGGCGUCCGACUGCACGGGUUUAACGGAGUUCAUAAAAGCAGGCAAGGCAUCUGGCUGAUAAGGACAUCAGCGUCAGCGGCUGUGUCAACAUUACAAAGGAUUCAACUAAUUUUUCUUCAGCAGCAAGAUGGACUACUGUAACUGACUUCUUCAUUGUGCUUAUGCUUAUGAAAUAUGAAAUAACACAUCUUCAGCUGGAACCAGUUUAA
Molecule: long non-coding RNA, 331 nt
Organism: Carassius gibelio (silver crucian carp)
Lineage: Eukaryota; Metazoa; Chordata; Actinopteri; Cypriniformes; Cyprinidae
Exons: 2
Source: RefSeq, a predicted model, not a curated record